Molecule: ribosomal RNA, 492 nt
Filed under: uncultured bacterium
Lineage: Bacteria
Description: partial 16S ribosomal RNA
Rfam family: Bacterial small subunit ribosomal RNA
Source: RNAcentral
AGUGAACGCUGGCGGUAGGCCUAACACAUGCAAGUCGAACGGCAGCACAGUAAGAGCUUGCUCUUACGGGUGGCGAGUGGCGGACGGGUGAGGAAUACAUCGGAAUCUACUUUUUCGUGGGGGAUAACGUAGGGAAACUUACGCUAAUACCGCAUACGACCUACGGGUGAAAGCAGGGGAUCUUCGGACCUUGCGCGAUUGAAUGAGCCGAUGUCGGAUUAGCUAGUUGGCGGGGUAAAGGCCCACCAAGGCGACGAUCCGUAGCUGGUCUGAGAGGAUGAGAAGCCAAACUGGAACGGAGACACGGUCCAGACUCCUACGGGAGGCAGCAGUGGGGAAUAUUGGACAAUGGGCGCAAGCCUGAUCCAGCCAUACCGCGUGGGUGAAGAAGGCCUUCGGGUUGUAAAGACCUUUUGUUGGGAAAGAAAAGCAGCAGGUGAAUACCCCGCUGUUCUGACGGUACCCAAAGAAUAAGCACCGGCUAACUUCGUG